This 302-nucleotide ribosomal RNA is filed under the name Coptotriche badiiella. RNAcentral describes it as "SSU rRNA". It matches the Rfam family "Eukaryotic small subunit ribosomal RNA", at positions 799 to 1099 of the family's 1831-position model. Lineage: Eukaryota; Metazoa; Arthropoda; Insecta; Lepidoptera; Tischeriidae. The record is from RNAcentral.
UAUUUCGUGCAUGGAAUAAUAGAAUAUGAUCUCGGUUCUAUUUUGUUGGUUUUCAGAACUCCGAGGUAAUGAUUAAUAGGGAUAACUGGGGGCAUUCGUAUUGCGACGUUAGAGGUGAAAUUCUUGGAUCGUCGCAAGACGAACAUCAGCGAAAGCAUUUGCCAAAGGUGUUUUCAUCAAUCAAGAACGAAAGUUAGAGGUUCGAAGGCGAUUAGAUACCGCCCUAGUUCUAACCGUAAAUAUGUCAUCUAGCGAUCCGCCGACGUUACUACAAUGGCUCGGCGGGCAGCUUCCGGGAAACC